Cynara cardunculus var. scolymus (artichoke) is the source of this 2522-nucleotide RNA transcript. It is a transcript of the gene named nucleosome assembly protein 1;4-like, with no coding region annotated. Lineage: Eukaryota; Viridiplantae; Streptophyta; Magnoliopsida; Asterales; Asteraceae. The record is from RefSeq and is a predicted model, not a curated record. The transcript is spliced from 12 exons.
CCACCUUCUUUCUUCGUUUCUAGGGUUUUUCAUCAGGGUUUCUCGUCAGCCAUGGGCAACAGUAAGAAAGAACCGUUAGAUAUCUCCGAUCUCGGUGCCUCCCUACCGGCGGCCGCUGCAGUUGUUCGUGCAGCUCUUAAUGCGGAGGAUCGUGCGGGGCUUGUAAACGCAUUGAAGAACAAGCUUCAAAACCUGGCGGGAGAACACUCGGAUGUUCUUGAGAGUUUGACUCCUGCAGUCAGGAAAAGAGUUGAGGUUCUGAGAGACAUUCAGAGCGAACAUGAUGAGCUAGAGGCAAAGUUUUUUGAAGAGAGAGCAGCACUAGAAGCAAAAUACCAGAAACUAUAUGAACCACUGUAUUCAAAGAGAUACGAUAUAGUGAAUGGUGUUGUUGAGGUCGAUGGAGUGAAGAAUGGAGAUUCGAUGGACCAGACAGAUGAUAAAGCUGGAGAAGAAAAGGGUGUGCCUAAUUUUUGGCUAACUGCAAUGAAGACCCAUGAAAUUUUGGCGGAGGAGAUCUCAGAACGAGAUGAAGAAGCUCUCAAAUACUUGAAGGAUAUCAAGUGGAAUCGUAUUGAUGAUCCCAAGGGUUUCAAGCUUGAGUUCUUCUUUGAUGCCAAUCCAUUUUUCAAGAACACUGUUUUGACGAAAGUAUACCAUAUGAUUGAUGAUGAUGAGCCUAUUUUAGAGAAAGCAAUAGGGACAGAUAUUGAAUGGUUACCUGGGAAAUGUUUGACACAAAAGAUCUUAAAGAAGAAGCCUAAAAAAGGAUCAAAGAACGCUAAGCCCAUCACAAAGACCGAGAAUUGUGAAAGUUUCUUCAACUUUUUUAGCCCCCCAGAGGUGCCUGAGAAUGAGGAUGAUAUUGAUGAAGAGAUGGCCGAAGAACUUCAAAAUCAAAUGGAGCAAGACUAUGACGUUGGCUCAACAAUACGAGACAAAAUAAUCCCCCAUGCUGUUUCAUGGUUUACGGGUGAAGCUGCUCAAGAGGAUGAGUUUGAAGGUAUUGAUGACGAGGAUGAUGAAGAUGACGACGAUGAUGACAUUGAAGAUGAAGAUGACGACGAGGAUGAGGAUGAGGAUGAUGAAGAUGACGAGGAAGAAGAAGUGAGCAAGGCCAAAAAGAAGGUAACAUUUCUUCCGAUAAGGUUGUAUUGAUCAUUUAUGCUUUAGCAACCAUUGCCCUACUCCUGAGGUAGAGGUCAGAGGUCAGGUCUGCUUACAUCUUAGAGUUCAACCAACAAAUUCUUCAAAAUUUCUCCAAAAUAUAGUCAAAUAUCAAAAUCUACAAAAAAGUUAACAUUUAACUCCAACACAUUCUUCAUUUUAGAUAUCACAACAUUAAUUAUAAUAUUAAAAUAUUCAAUUUUUUUAAUAAAAUAUAUUUUUCUCUCCUAAGCACUAGAUUUCAAAGACUCUUAUUGGUGGAAAACUGUGAGUAAUAGAAUAUCAUUUCUCAAUCCUAACCAAUCAUUUUUGGUGUUACCCAAAUUUGGAGAAUUUUGCCUUUUCUAUCCUACCUUCUCCAUUUUGGAGAUUCCAUUGGAGCAAAAGAAGGGAAAUUGACUGAAAUAGCCAAUCCAAUCAACCAAAUUCACUUUUUAGCCAUUUUCAAAGCCUCUUGUCAAAAUAGCAUUUGCGUAAAGACUGAUAUCUGGAAAAAAUAAAGAAAGAAUUCCAUAGGCAUAUGCGCAAGUAUUCUUUACGCAAGAAUCUGAAUCUUGACGCAAAGGAAUCUUUUUCUUUCUAAAUAUGAAAAUCGAUUAUACACGAGUGCGCAAGACACUGGCUAAAAUGGGAAUUCAAUUGAAAAAGUGGCUAAAAAGUGAAGUUGGUUAGGGAGAUUGGCUAUUUUGGUCAAUUUCCCAGCAAAAAAUCAUCAAAUCUCCUUUUUCUCUGUUUUGGAGACGCUCUUACCCCUUCCGGACCCCACCUUGAAAUGAGAUAUACUACUAUUUGGUUGGGUUUUUUAUUUAUUUAUUUAGGAGCAUGCUAACACGUUUCUUAUAUUUUGUUUCAUGCUAUCAGCAGUCUUCUGGACACAAGAAGGUGGGCGGCGGCAUGGCAAUCACUGGCGGUGAUCAGGGUGAGCGACCUCCAGAGUGCAAGCAACAGUAGUAGCUUCUGAGGUCGAUGAUUUCGAAAUAUUGGGUUCAGAGUUUUUGGCAUUCUGAUGGGGGUUCUUUAGGCAUCAUAGGUAACCAGUCAGGGGUAUUCUUGGAAACAACUUCUCUGGCUAAGGUUAGUCAGGGAUAUUCUUGGAAACAACUUCUCUGGCCAAAAGGUUAGUCAGGGGUAAUCUUGGAAACAACCUCUCUGGAUCUUGAGACAGAUGUAAGGUUAGUCGGGGGGGUAUUCUUGGAAACAACCUAUUCAAGUCUUGGAGACGGAUGUAAACAAUUUACCCUUUCUAGACCUUACCGUUGGUUUUAGGUAAACCAUGUUUGAAUUAUUUAAAGGUACAAUUGAAGAAAAGUGUAUGUUUUUUGGAUUUUGCCAUUUUUGUGCUCAUCUUUCUUGGC